GAACGCUGGCGGCAAGCCUAACACAUGCAAGUCGUGCGGUAACCGAGCGGCGGACGGGUGAGUAAUAUCUGGGAAUCUACCUAUAGGAGGGGGAUAACUAUUGGAAACGAUAGCUAAUACCACAUAAUGUUAUUUAUUUUUAUAACCAAAAAGAGGGGAGUAAAACCUUUUGCCAAUAGAUGAGCCCAGACGAGAUUAGUUAGUAGGUGAGGUAAAAGCUACACCUAGACGAUGAUCUCUAGCUGGUCUGAGAGGAUGACCAGCCACACUGGAACUGAGAUACGGUCCAGACUCCUACGGGAGGCAGCAGUGGGGAAUAUUGCACAAUGAGCGAAAGCUUGAUGCAGCUAUGCCGCGUGUAUGAAGAAGGCCUUAGGGUUGUAAAGUACUUUCAGUAGAAAAGAAUUAAUAAUACCUAAUAUGUAUUAUUAUUGACGUUAUCUACAAAAGAAGCACCGGCUAACUCC
RNAcentral lists this ribosomal RNA (467 nucleotides) under mycetome symbiont of Placobdelloides multistriata. Its description in RNAcentral is "bacterial SSU rRNA". It matches the Rfam family "Bacterial small subunit ribosomal RNA", at positions 31 to 504 of the family's 1533-position model. Lineage: Bacteria; Pseudomonadati; Pseudomonadota; Gammaproteobacteria; Enterobacterales; Enterobacteriaceae. The record is from RNAcentral.